CUGGUGGAGCGCUUAGAAGUGAGAAUGCCGGUAUGAGUAGCGAAAGAGGGGUGAGAAUCCCCUCCACCGAAUGCCUAAGGUUUCCUGAGGAAGGCUCGUCCGCUCAGGGUUAGUCGGGACCUAAGCCGAGGCCGAAAGGCGUAGGCGAUGGACAACAGGUUGAUAUUCCUGUACCACCUCCUCACCAUUUGAGCAAUGGGGGGACGCAGGAGGAUAGGGUAAGCGCGGUAUUGGAUAUCCGCGUCCAAGCAGUUAGGCUGGGAAAUAGGCAAAUCCGUUUCCCAUAAGGCUGAGCUGUGAUGGCGAGCGAAGUAUAGUAGCGAAGUUCCUGAUUCCACACUGCCAAGAAAAGCCUCUAGCGAGGUGAGAGGUGCCCGUACCGCAAACCGACACAGGUAGGCGAGGAGAGAAUCCUAAGGUGAUCGAGAGAACUCUCGUUAAGGAACUCGGCAAAAUGACCCCGUAACUUCGGGAGAAGGGGUGCUCUGUUAGGGUGCAAGCCCGAGAGAGCCGCAGUGAAUAGGCCCAGGCGACUGUUUAGCAAAAACACAGGUCUCUGCGAAGCCGUAAGGCGAAGUAUAGGGGCUGACGCCUGCCCGGUGCUGGAAGGUUAAGAGGAGCGCUUAGCGUAAGCGAAGGUGCGAAUUGAAGCCCCAGUAAACGGCGGCCGUAACGAUAACGGUCCUAAGGUAGCGAAAUUCCUUGUCGGGUAAGUUCCGACCCGCACGAAAGGCGCAACGAUCUGGGCACUGUCUCAACGAGAGACUCGGUGAAAUUAUAGUACCUGUGAAGAUGCAGGUUACCCGCGACAGGACGGAAAGACCCCGUGGAGCUUUACUGCAGCCUGAUAUUGAAUGUUGGUACAGCUUGUACAGGAUAGGUAGGAGCCUUGGAAACCGGAGCGCCAGCUUCGGUGGAGGCAUCGGUGGGAUACUACCCUGGCUGUAUUGACCUUCUAACCCGCCGCCCUUAUCGGGCGGGGAGACAGUGUCAGGUGGGCAGUUUGACUGGGGCGGUCGCCUCCUAAAAGGUAACGGAGGCGCCCAAAGGUUCCCUCAGAAUGGUUGGAAAUCAUUCGCAGAGUGUAAAGGCACAAGGGAGCUUGACUGCGAGACCUACAAGUCGAGCAGGGACGAAAGUCGGGCUUAGUGAUCCGGUGGUUCCGCAUGGAAGGGCCAUCGCUCAACGGAUAAAAGCUACCCCGGGGAUAACAGGCUUAUCUCCCCCAAGAGUCCACAUCGACGGGGAGGUUUGGCACCUCGAUGUCGGCUCAUCGCAUCCUGGGGCUGUAGUCGGUCCCAAGGGUUGGGCUGUUCGCCCAUUAAAGCGGUACGCGAGCUGGGUUCAGAACGUCGUGAGACAGUUCGGUCCCUAUCCGUCGCGGGCGCAGGAAAUUUGAGAGGAGCUGUCCUUAGUACGAGAGGACCGGGAUGGACGCACCGCUGGUGUACCAGUUGUUCUGCCAAGGGCAUCGCUGGGUAGCUAUGUGCGGACGGGAUAAGUGCUGAAAGCAUCUAAGCAUGAAGCCCCCCUCAAGAUGAGAUUUCCCAUUCCGCAAGGAAGUAAGAUCCCUGAAAGAUGAUCAGGUUGAUAGGUCUGAGGUGGAAGUGUGGCGACACAUGGAGCUGACAGAUACUAAUCGAUCGAGGACUUAACC
Molecule: ribosomal RNA, 1657 nt
Filed under: metagenome
Description: bacterial LSU rRNA
Rfam family: Bacterial large subunit ribosomal RNA
Source: RNAcentral